GACGAACGCUGGCGGCGUGCUUAACACAUGCAAGUCGAACGGAAAGGCCCUGCUUUUGUGGGGUGCUCGAGUGGCGAACGGGUGAGUAACACGUGAGUAACCUGCCCUUGACUUUGGGAUAACUUCAGGAAACUGGGGCUCAUACCGGAUAUGAGCUCCUGCUGCAUGGUGGGGGUUGGAAAGUUUCGGCGGUUGGGGAUGGACUCGCGGCUUAUCAGCUUGUUGGUGGGGUAGUGGCUUACCAAGGCUUUGACGGGUAGCCGGCCUGAGAGGGUGACCGGCCACAUUGGGACUGAGAUACGGCCCAGACUCCUACGGGAGGCAGCAGUGGGGAAUAUUGCACAAUGGGCGGAAGCCUGAUGCAGCAACGCCGCGUGCGGGAUGACGGCCUUCGGGUUGUAAACCGCUUUCGCCUGUGACGAAGCGUGAGUGACGGUAAUGGGUAAAGAAGCACCGGCUAACUACGUG
Molecule: ribosomal RNA, 468 nt
Filed under: uncultured bacterium
Lineage: Bacteria
Description: partial 16S ribosomal RNA
Rfam family: Bacterial small subunit ribosomal RNA
Source: RNAcentral